This 606-nucleotide ribosomal RNA is filed under the name Millerozyma farinosa. RNAcentral's name for it is "eukaryotic LSU rRNA". It matches the Rfam family "Eukaryotic large subunit ribosomal RNA", at positions 38 to 658 of the family's 3401-position model. Lineage: Eukaryota; Fungi; Ascomycota; Pichiomycetes; Serinales; Debaryomycetaceae. The record is from RNAcentral.
GCAUAUCAAUAAGCGGAGGAAAAGAAACCAACAGGGAUUGCCUUAGUAACGGCGAGUGAAGCGGCAAAAGCUCAAAUUUGAAAUCUGGCGUCUUCGGCGUCCGAGUUGUAAUUUGAAGAAGGCUACUUUGGAGCUGGAGUUUGUCUAAGUUCCUUGGAACAGGACGUCACAGAGGGUGAGAAUCCCGUGAGAUAAGCUUCCCAGUUCUAUGUAAAGUGCUUUCGAAGAGUCGAGUUGUUUGGGAAUGCAGCUCUAAGUGGGUGGUAAAUUCCAUCUAAAGCUAAAUAUUGGCGAGAGACCGAUAGCGAACAAGUACAGUGAUGGAAAGAUGAAAAGAACUUUGAAAAGAGAGUGAAAAAGUACGUGAAAUUGUUGAAAGGGAAGGGCUUGAGAUCAGACAUGGUAUUUUGUAAACCUUCUCUCUCGUGGAGGGGGCCCCUUGCAGUUUACUGGGCCAGCAUCAGUUUGGGCGGUAGGAUAAUGACUAAGGAAUGUGACUUGCCUUCGGGGAAGUGUUAUAGCCUUGGUUGAUACUGCCAGCCUAGACUGAGGACCGCGUCUUUGACAAGGAUGUUGGCAUAAUGAUCUUAAGCCACCCGUCUUGAA